UGGGGAAUAUUGCACAAUGGGCGGAAGCCUGAUGCAGCGACGCCGCGUGGGGGAUGAAGGCCUUCGGGUUGUAAACUCCUUUCGACAGGGACGAAGCUUUUGUGACGGUACCUGUAUAAGAAGCACCGGCUAACUACGUGCCAGCAGCCGCGGUAAUACGUAGGGUGCGAGCGUUGUCCGGAAUUACUGGGCGUAAAGAGCUCGUAGGUGGUUUGUCGCGUCGUCUGUGAAAUUCCGGGGCUUAACUCCGGGCGUGCAGGCGAUACGGGCUGACUUGAGUGCUGUAGGGGAGACUGGAAUUCCUGGUGUAGCGGUGAAAUGCGCAGAUAUCAGGAGGAACACCGAUGGCGAAGGCAGGUCUCUGGGCAGUAACUGACGCUGAGGAGCGAAAGCAUGGGUAGCGAAAAGG
This 409-nucleotide ribosomal RNA is filed under the name Actinomycetes bacterium. RNAcentral's name for it is "Actinobacteria bacterium partial 16S ribosomal RNA". It matches the Rfam family "Bacterial small subunit ribosomal RNA", at positions 355 to 776 of the family's 1533-position model. Lineage: Bacteria; Bacillati; Actinomycetota; Actinomycetes. The record is from RNAcentral.